CAGCAGCCGCGGGAAUACAGAGGAUGCAAGCGUUAUCCGGAAUUAUUGGGCGUAAAGCGCGCGCAGGUGGUUUAAUAAGUCUGAUGUGAAAGCCCCCGGCUCAACCGGGGAGGGUCAUUGGAAACUGGGAAACUUGAGUGCAGAAGAGGAGAGUGGAAUUCCACGUGUAGCGGUGAAAUGCGUAGAGAUGUGGAGGAACACCAGUGGCGAAGGCGACUCUCUGGUCUGUAACUGACGCUGAGGAGCGAAAGCGUGGGGAGCGAACAGGAUUAGAUACCCCCGUAGUCCCUGUCUCUUAUAC
RNAcentral lists this ribosomal RNA (301 nucleotides) under uncultured bacterium. Its description in RNAcentral is "partial 16S ribosomal RNA". It matches the Rfam family "Bacterial small subunit ribosomal RNA", at positions 509 to 807 of the family's 1533-position model. The record is from RNAcentral.